CCUACGGGGGGCUGCAGUAAGGAAUAUUGGUCAAUGGACGCAAGUCUGAACCAGCCAUGCCGCGUGGAGGAUGAAGGUCCUCUGGAUUGUAAACUUCUUUUAUUUGGGAAGAAACCCACGAUUUCUAUUGUGGUUGACGGUACCAGAUGAAUAAGCACCGGCUAACUCCGUGCCAGCAGCCGCGGUAAUACGGAGGGUGCAAGCGUUAUCGGGAUUCACGGGGUUUAAAGGGUGCGUGGACGUGCGUGGUGAAAUCCCCGAGGUUAACUUGGGAGCUGCCGUUGAUACUAUCUGUCUUGAAUACUGUGGAGGUAAGCGGAAUAUGUCAUGUAGCGGUGAAAUGCUUAGAUAUGACAUAGAACACCUAUUGCGAAGUCAGCUUGCUACACAGUCAUUGACGCUGAGGCACGAAAGCGUGGGGAUCAAACAGGAUUAGAUACCCGUGUAGUC
Molecule: ribosomal RNA, 450 nt
Filed under: uncultured bacterium
Lineage: Bacteria
Description: partial 16S ribosomal RNA
Rfam family: Bacterial small subunit ribosomal RNA
Source: RNAcentral